Molecule: long non-coding RNA, 242 nt
Filed under: Capsicum annuum
Lineage: Eukaryota; Viridiplantae; Streptophyta; Magnoliopsida; Solanales; Solanaceae
Description: long non-coding RNA (CANN_LNC014256)
Source: RNAcentral
GCGGAUGUUAGGCAUAGUUGAAACUUUUAAGCCAUUAGAAUAAAGUUACUAUGCGAUUUGAUAACUUAUGAUGACUUUCCCUAGAUUAUGACUUAUGGAUUAUGGCUAUGAAAUUUCAUUUCGUACAUGACUUAUGAUUGGGUUAAUUGGCAUACUCGAUAAUACAAGCAUGGACAUAGUCAUGAUAUUUGGCUUAUAGACGCAAUGUUUGUAAUGCCCCGAGUCUGUACCCUGAAUGCUAC